UGUGUCAGCCGCCGCGGUAAUACGUAGGGGGCAAGCGUUGUCCGGAUUUACUGGGCGUAAAGAGCGCGUAGGCGGAGAUCUAAGCGUGGCCUGAAAGCCCCCGGCUCAACCGGGGAGUGCGGCUGCGAACUGGGUUUCUUGAGGACGAUAGAGGAGAGUGGAAUUCCUGGUGUAGCGGUGAAAUGCGUAGAUAUCAGGAGGAACACCCGAGGCGAAGGCGGCUCUCUGGGUCGUACCUGACGCUGAGGCGCGAAAGCGUGGGGAGCGAACGGGAUUAGAUACCCCGGUAGUCCACGCCGUAAACGAUGGUCACUAGGUGUGUGUGGUAUCGACCCCGCACGUGCCGCAGCUAACGCAAUAAGUGACCCGCCUGGGGAGUACGGCCGCAAGGUUGAAACUUAAAGGAAUUGGCGGGGGA
RNAcentral lists this ribosomal RNA (418 nucleotides) under uncultured bacterium. RNAcentral describes it as "bacterial SSU rRNA". It matches the Rfam family "Bacterial small subunit ribosomal RNA", at positions 504 to 920 of the family's 1533-position model. The record is from RNAcentral.